RNAcentral lists this ribosomal RNA (460 nucleotides) under uncultured bacterium. RNAcentral describes it as "partial 16S ribosomal RNA". It matches the Rfam family "Bacterial small subunit ribosomal RNA", at positions 338 to 795 of the family's 1533-position model. The record is from RNAcentral.
CCUACGGGAGGCUGCAGUGAGGAAUAUUGGUCAAUGGGCGUAAGACUGAACCAGCCAAGUCGCAUGAGGGAUGAAGGUUCUCUGGAUCGUAAACCUCUUUUAUAAGGGGAUAAAGUGUGGGACGUGUCCUAUUUUGUAUGUACCUUAUGAAUAAGGAUCGGCUAAAUCCGUGCCAGCAGCCGCGGUAAUACGGAGGAUCCGAGCGUUAUCCGGAUUUAUUGGGUUUAAAGGGUGCGUAGGCGGCCUUUUAAGUCAGCGGUGAAAGUCUGUGGCUCAACCAUAGAAUUGCCGUGGAAACUGGCGGGCGUGAGUAUGUUUGAGGCAGGCGGAAUGCGUGGUGUAGAGGUGAAAUGCUUAGAUAUCACGAAGAACCCCGAUUGCGAAGGCAGACUGCCAAGCCAUGACUGACGCUGAUGCACGAAAGCGUGGGUAUCAAACAGGAUUAGAUACCCUUGUAGUC